CAAGCGUUAUCCGGAUUUAUUGGGCGUACAGGGUGCGUAGGCGGUUGUGUAAGUUUGAGGUUAAAGCCCGGAGCUCAACUCCGGUUCGCCUUGAAAACUACAUAACUAGAAUGCAAGAGAGGUAAAUGGAAUUCCAUGUGUAGCGGUAAAAUGCGUAGAUAUAUGGAAGAACACCUGUGGCGAAAGCGGUUUACCAGCUUGUUAUUGACGCUGAGGCACGAAAGCGUGGGGAGCAAAUAGGAUUAGAUACCCUAGUAGUCCACGCCGUAAACGUUGAGUACUAGGUGUCGGGAAUUAUCUCGGCGCCGCAGCUAACGCAUUAAGUACUCCGCCUGAGUAGUAUGCACGCAAGUGUGAAACUCAAAGGAAUUGACGGGGACCCGCACAAGUGGUGGAGCAUGUGGUUUAAUUCGAAGCAACACGAAGAACCUUACCAGGGCUUGACAUCCAGUGCAAAGGCAUAGAGAUAUGCUGGAGGCUAACAUUGAGACAGGUGGUGCAUGGUUGUCGUCAGUUCGUGCCGUGAGGUGUUUGGUUAAGUCCAGCAACGAACGCAACCCUUGUCAUUAGUUACUAACAUUAAGUUGAGGACUCUAAUGAGACUGCUAGUGUAAGCUAGAGGAAGGUGGGGAUGACGUCAAAUCAUCAUGCCCCUUAUGUCCUGGGCUACACACGUGCUACAAUGGCUGAUACAAAGAGUCGCAAUCUCGCAAGGAGGAGCUAAUCUCAUAAAGUCAGUCUCAGUUCGGAUUGAGGGCUGCAACUCGCCCUCAUGAAGCCGGAAUCACUAGUAAUCGCGAAUCAGAUAAGUCGCGGUGAAUACGUUCUCGGGUCUUGUACACACCGCCCGUCACACCACGAGAGUUGGUAACACCAGAAGUAGGUAGCCUAACCGCAAGGAGGGC
Molecule: ribosomal RNA, 905 nt
Filed under: uncultured Mesoplasma sp.
Lineage: Bacteria; Bacillati; Mycoplasmatota; Mollicutes; Entomoplasmatales; Entomoplasmataceae
Description: bacterial SSU rRNA
Rfam family: Bacterial small subunit ribosomal RNA
Source: RNAcentral